GUCGAGCGGACAGAUGGGAGCUUGCUCCCUGAUGUUAGCGGCGGACGGGUGAGUAACACGUGGGUAACCUGCCUGUAAGACUGGGAUAACUCCGGGAAACCGGGGCUAAUACCGGAUGGUUGUUUGAACCGCAUGGUUCAGACAUAAAAGGUGGCUUCGGCUACCACUUACAGAUGGACCCGCGGCGCAUUAGCUAGUUGGUGAGGUAACGGCUCACCAAGGCAACGAUGCGUAGCCGACCUGAGAGGGUGAUCGGCCACACUGGGACUGAGACACGGCCCAGACUCCUACGGGAGGCAGCAGUAGGGAAUCUUCCGCAAUGGACGAAAGUCUGACGGAGCAACGCCGCGUGAGUGAUGAAGGUUUUCGGAUCGUAAAGCUCUGUUGUUAGGGAAGAACAAGUGCCGUUCAAAUAGGGCGGCACCUUGACGGUACCUAACCAGAAAGCCACGGCUAACUACGUGCCAGCAGCCGCGGUAAUACGUAGGUGGCAAGCGUUGUCCGGAAUUAUUGGGCGUAAAGGGCUCGCAGGCGGUUUCUUAAGUCUGAUGUGAAAGCCCCCGGCUCAACCGGGGAGGGUCAUUGGAAACUGGGGAACUUGAGUGCAGAA
RNAcentral lists this ribosomal RNA (610 nucleotides) under Bacillus velezensis. Its description in RNAcentral is "bacterial SSU rRNA". It matches the Rfam family "Bacterial small subunit ribosomal RNA", at positions 61 to 653 of the family's 1533-position model. Lineage: Bacteria; Bacillati; Bacillota; Bacilli; Caryophanales; Bacillaceae. The record is from RNAcentral.